AAAUUGUUUUAUCUCUUUUUAGUUAAUUUACAGCAAAUAACUGAAAAGAUCAACACAGUGAAGAAAGAAAACAGAGAACUGGCUGAAGCAAUAUCCAUUUGGGAACAGAAGAUCAGUGAAUCAAAGAUACGUCUUCAAGAAGCUGAGAGAAGAAGUAACAUUCACUCCGCUGAAGCUCUUAAAUUGAAAGUAAGAAUCCCAUGGGGUGCCCGGGUGGCUCAGUCAGUUGAGAAUCCGACUUUGGCUCAGGUCAUGAUCUCACAGUUCGUGAGUUUGAGCCCUGUGUCGGGCUCUGUGCUGACAGCUCGGAGCCUUGAGCCUACUUCUCUCUCUCUCUCUGUGUCUCCCUCUCUCUGCCCCUUCCCUGCUCAUGUUCUGUCUCUUUCUGUCUCUCAAAG
This 398-nucleotide long non-coding RNA is filed under the name Lynx canadensis (Canada lynx). Its description in RNAcentral is "lncRNA (ENSLCNG00005017312.1)". The record is from RNAcentral. Lineage: Eukaryota; Metazoa; Chordata; Mammalia; Carnivora; Felidae.